RNAcentral lists this ribosomal RNA (497 nucleotides) under uncultured bacterium. RNAcentral's name for it is "partial 16S ribosomal RNA". It matches the Rfam family "Bacterial small subunit ribosomal RNA", at positions 28 to 507 of the family's 1533-position model. The record is from RNAcentral.
GAUGAACGCUGGCGGCGUGCCUAAUACAUGCAAGUCGAGCGAACAGACGAGGAGCUUGCUCCUCUGAUGUUAGCGGCGGAAGGGUGAGUAACACGUGGAUAACCUACCUAUAAGACUGGGAUAACUUCGGGAAACCGGAGCUAAUACCGGAUAACAUGAUAAACCGCAUGGUUCAACAGUGAAAGACGGUCUUGCUGUCACCUAUAGAUGGAUCCGCGCCGCAGUAGCUAGUUGGUAAGGUAACGGCUUACCAAGGCAACGAUGCGUAGCCGACCUGAGAGGGUGAUCGGCCACACUUGAACUGAGACACGGUCCAGACUCCUACGGGAGGCAGCAGUAGGGAAUCUUCCGCAAUGGGCGAAAGCCUGACGGAGCAACGCCGCGUGAGUGAAGAAGGUCUUCGGAUCGUAAAACUCUGUUAUUAGGGAAGAACAAAUGUGUAAGUAACUAUGCACGUCUUGACGGUACCUAAUCAGAAAGCCACGGCUAACUACGUG